CCGAAGCUUGGGAUACAUCUAAUGUAUGGUAGGAGAGCGUUGUAUACGGGGUGAAGUCAGAGCGGAAGCGCUGGUGGACUGUAUACAAGUGAGAAUGCCGGAAUGAGUAGCGAGAAUUAUGUGAGAAUCAUAAUGGCCGAAAGACUAAGGUUUUAGAAGGAAGGUUCGUCCGCUUCUAGUCAGCCGGGAGCUAAGGCGAGGCCGAAAGGCGUAGUCGAUGCACAUACGGUGGAGAUUCCGUAGCCGCCAUUAAUUUAAACAGAGGGACACUUUCAAGGGGCAUGACCCGGGCGUUGGUAGACCCGGGCGUAAGGGACCGAAGAUUAGUAGGGAAGCAUGCUUUAAGGAAGGCGAGAAAAGCUCUGUGUAUAGAAGAUGGCGCCCGUACCGCAAACCGACACAGGUAGUCAGGAAGAGAAUUCUAAGGCCAACGGGAGAAGGGUAGUUAAGGAACUCGGCAAAUUGACCCCGUAACUUCGGAAUAAGGGGUGCUCACGAGAGUGAGCCGCAGUGAAUAGGUCCAGGCGACUGUUUAUCAAAAACACAGCUCUCUGCUAAAUCGAAAGAUGACGUAUAGGGGGUGACACCUGCCCGGUGCUGGAAGGUUAAGAGGAAGGGUGCAAGCUCUGAAUUGAAGCCCCAGUAAACGGCGGCCGUAACUAUAACGGUCCUAAGGUAGCGAAAUUCCUUGUCGGGUAAGUUCCGACCCGCACGAAUGGUGUAACGAUCUGGACACUGUCUCAACUACCCACCCGGCGAAAUUGUAGUACCGGUGAAGAUGCCGGUUACCCGCGGCAAGACGGAAAGACCCCAUGGAGCUUUACUGUAACCUGAUAUUGGGUUUCGGUAUUUUAUGUACAGGAUAGGUGGGAGACUAUGAAACUAAGGCGCCAGCCUUAGCGGAGUCGCCCUUGGGAUACCACUCUUAAAGUACUGAAAUUCUAACCUGCGGCCGUGAAUCCGGUCGGGGGACAUUGUCAGGCGGGCAGUUUGACUGGGGCGGUCGCCUCCAAAAGAGUAACGGAGGCGCUCAAAGGUUCGCUCAGCAUGGUCGGAAACCAUGCCUUAGAGUGUAAACGCAAAAGCGAGCCUAACUGCGAGGCUGACGGGCCGAGCAGUAACGAAAGUUGGAGUUAGUGAUCCGGCGGUAU
Molecule: ribosomal RNA, 1151 nt
Filed under: human gut metagenome
Description: bacterial LSU rRNA
Rfam family: Bacterial large subunit ribosomal RNA
Source: RNAcentral